Long non-coding RNA from Tachysurus fulvidraco (yellow catfish), 6820 nucleotides. RefSeq lists it as uncharacterized. The record is from RefSeq and is a predicted model, not a curated record. The transcript is spliced from 5 exons. Lineage: Eukaryota; Metazoa; Chordata; Actinopteri; Siluriformes; Bagridae.
UUCAUUCAGUUCAGUUUUAAUAAAUUAUUAAAUUGGCAGCUACGCUAAAACAGGCAAUUGAAGUGAUCACGCUUAGUAACUCAGACACAGACCUUUGUUAAGCAACACAAAGAACAAAUUCUGAAAGGCCUCAGUCUUCAUGUGAAAUUUAAAGAGACAGUAAAAGUCAGCCUUCAGCGCAAAGACUUCAGAAAAAGGUGAAAAAACGAACCUAAAAUUCUGGAAAGUUAAACUUUGACGACUGUGAGCUCCUUCCCCCAGGAGUGAGGAGUAAAGCCUGGAGCACACGCCGCUCUCCUCCUCUACACAUCACUCAUCCUUCACUUCUGAAAUCCAGCCUACACUUAAUAUUUACUUCAUCUUCAUCUCAGCUGCUUAAACACAGUCCCCAGACCUUUCGAAGGGAUGUGUGAAGGGUUUUCCUUCAUCACGCUCAAGGACAUUGUCAUGCUUGUGUGAGGUGUUGGCAGUGAAGGAGCUGAAGGAGAUGCACAGAGCAUUUGGGCUCGACUUUGUGUUACUGUUGCGUCGGUCGGCUUUGUGCUCGGGUCUUAAUCAGAGAUCAUUUGAAGACUUAGAUCAUUUGAAGGAAUUAGUGUUGGGUCUGUGGUAAAGAGUGAGCGAGUGAAACCUUACAAAGAAGUAAGUGGUCCUUACUCUAGAACCUGAGUGUUCUUUACUCUAGAACCAAACCUGAGUGUUCUUUACUCUAGAACCUGAGUGUUCUUUACUCUAGAACCUGAGUGGUCUUUACUCUAGAACCUGUGUGUUCUUUACUCUAGAACCUGUGUUCUUUACUCUAGAACCAAACCUGAGUGGUCUUUACUCUAGAACCUGAGUGUUCUUUACGCUAGAACCUGAGUGGUCUUUACUCUAGAACCUGAGUGGUCUUUACUCUAGAAUCUGGGUGUUCUUUACUCUAGAACCUGGGUGUUCUUUACUCUAUUACCUGAGAGCUCUUUACUCUAGAACCUGAGAGGUCUUUACUCUAGAACCUGAGUGUUCUUUACUCUAGAACCUGUGUGGUCUUUACUCUAGAACCAAACCUGAGUGUUCUUUACUCUAGAACCUGAGUGUUAUUUACUCUAUAAUCUGUGUUCUUUAGUCUAGAACCUGAGAGGUCUUUACUCUAGAGACUCUAGAGUGACUGUGCUGCUGUUUGUGUUAGAGUUGAGCUUCUACACCAUAAUUUAAUUUUCAUUUUGAUCCACGAGUGAAACUGUGUUAUGGCCUUUUACUGAUGAAAUAUUUUGAUGUUCUGGAAAAAACCUAAUGCUUCAGAAACAUUUGCCAAAGUGAUGCAGGCAACUGUAAAAGGCUGCUCCAGGUCAGUGUGGGGCAGGAACCUCAUGCUGACUAACCAUUAAAUGUCCUGCUCAUUACUGAGAGCACGGAGAAAGAGCCUGACCCUGGGGGUCUAUUCUGAAUUUUGAAAUUUAAUUCCAGCCCAUUUUCCAUUCGAUUUGUAUUUCUAAAUGAAGCUCCAUUGUCACAGAGUAGCUUGUAGAUUCAGAGCUGAUGGCAGGAAAAAAGAGAGUGAAGGAAGGUAUUCAGUUUUGUCGACAGCUAUGUAGGAUUGUUUUUUUCUUUAAAUUAUUUUAAAAGCUGAAUCAUUUUUUGUAAUCUUUAUCAUUAAAGGUACCUUGUUCUACAUGUUGUAGUGUUGUGAACAUGAAGCACUGGACAUCAAAACAGGAAAAAAAAUUAUUAAUUUAUUUGUAAAAGUAUGCAAUGCAUAAUAAUAAAUAAAAAAUGGUUUUGGUGAACGUUGCGUUAGCUGUGGAAAACGUUGGCUUGUUUAGGUUUCAUUCUUGAGUUUGUGUGUAUUUAUAGUUAUAGAUCAUCGUGUGAGUUGAUUGUAUGAUUGUGAUGCUAGGUCUUGUCAACAAAACUGUUUUUCAGGUUGUUGUAUUUAUCGUGGUAUUGUUGUGUGUUUUUGUGCUUUUUUUGUAUGCUGUCAUGCCACUGGAGCAUGUAAUGAAAAAUAAAUUUAAAAGGUGACUCAGUGGAGUCCAGGAUAAACCACUCGCUGUCAUAAAGCAGUGAAUUUAAGAACGCACACUUGGAGAGGUGUAAAGUGACAAAUGGACCAUGGGGACUGCAGAUCCACGUCUUUCUCAGUAAUGGCAGGGUUGAGACACUCUGCUGGUCUUAAUGGACCAUUAAAGUCCCACGGUUGGCUCCGCGGAUCUCAGUGCAAUGCCUCAGGGGCACAGCAGGAGUGGAGUCGCACCGCGUGAGAGGCAGGAACUGGACUUAAAGCAUCAGUUAAAGUGCAGGAUCAGAUAGUGGAACAAUCUGCGAGUCAGGAGAAAUCCACGCCUGGGGUUUUGUCAAUCUGGACAAUAACAGAGGAGUUUUUUCUUCUGUAAGCUCCAGCUCCAGGUCCAAAGCUGUGAGUGUGUGUGAGAAGAGACAUUAGACACAACAGCUGCACUACAACAAAAGUGAAACUCAAUAGAAACCUCCAGAAAAACAGCAGAGAAAAUUCAGUCGGAGGUUCAGCACCACGUCUGAUCCGGUCCUGAACUUCAAUCAGAAUGCUGGUGGAUCAGAUUUGGGUGCCAGCCAGAGGAAAGGCUUCAGGCUGUUCUGAUUUCCUGCAACUUCUGCUUACGAAGAAAAUAUCUUAAAUAUCUGAAAUAUCUCAUCUCUCAUCUCUUUAAUCUCCUGAUGGAGGAACAGCAUCACAGCUGAAUUGUGCAGAAUGAUAAGUUCAGAGCAAAAAAAAUGACCUCUUUUUGACUCAGCUUUUUUUUUUUACACUUUGUUCCAGAUCACCAGAUGUUUCUGUUCAGCUGAUGACUGAUAUAAUGCAAGACAGAAACAUCAAUGAGGACACGUCCCUAUCAAGGAGAUGUUACUAUGGAAACCAUAACAGAUCAGAACGAGAGCAUUAAUAUAAAAUGUAGAAUUAAUCGAUGUCUCCUGACCAAUCAGAACGCAGGAUCCAACAGCGCUGUGGUGUGAUGUUAAAAACGAAUCAGGACUCGUUCUGUAGGUCUUUUUACCAGCAUCUCUCAGUCUUUUGUUAGUUUUUUCGAGUUUUAACUCGGUUGUAUGUAAAUCCCGCAGUAAAUAAGAUCACGACUGAAUACCAUAUGGCAUCAGGAAGGAACAGCAUUAGAAAAGUACAGUUUACUUUUUCUGGAAAGCAAAAGCCUGGAUUUGUACCAGGAUGAGCAGGUUAAUGUAGUGAAGAGGCUAAUAAGAAUUCAACUUACAGACUCACUGAAGCUUCUUCAGACAAACAUCUGAAAAAUCCCUCCAUCCAUCUAUUUCUCUAUCCCUCAGGAGACUGUUAUUUUUAUAUUAUUCUCCUGUGCUGAAGGCUAAAAGGAGGAAUCGUCUCCAUCCCCCAACUUUAUGGUGUGUUUUAGAGGAUCACGUGAGCUGUGCUAUUUUUAUUGCCUUAAAUUUUAAUGGGUAAAAUCUUACUAAUCCUGUAUUUCUAUAUGUGCUCUAUAUCUAUUAGAUGUUAGCUGAAAUUGAAAUGUGGAGGGAUUUGCUUUAUAUAAUCCUUAAUGGAGGUGAAAUGAAUUUCAGCAGUAAUAACGGCUUGGCUGCUCAAGCGCAUUGAUGAUGCGUGGCUCGCAUGCGGAAUGACGGCACGGACAAAAACACCACAAAAUGGUGUGGGGAAGGAAGGAAAGAGGGAAGGCAGGAGGGAAGGAAGGAAGGAAGGAAGGAAGGAAGGAAGGAAGGAAGGAAGGAAGGAAGGAAGGAAGGAGGCCUUUUUUAAAAGAAGCCUGUAUUUUUGUGACAACUAUAUUACAGCACAGUGAAAUUCUUUCUUCACAUAUCUUUGGAAGUUGGGCUCAGAACACAAGGUCAGCUAUGAUACAGCACCCUGGAGCAGAGAGGGUUAAGGGCCUUGCUCAAGGGCCCAACAGUGGCAGCUUGGCAGUGCUGGGGCUUAAACCCUGAUUCUCCAAUCAACAACCCAGAGGCUUAACCACUUAAAUAAAUAAAUAAAUAAAUAAAUAAAUAAACAAAUAAAUAAAUAAAGUAGGUUUAUGAUGAUAAAAAUGUUCUGCAUUUUAAUCUAUAAUGCAUCUUAAACUUAAUCUUAGAUCUUACAUAUAUUGACUUGUGUAUUAAUCUCUGCAUGUUUCAUCAGUCACUUAAUUCGGUUUCGUGUGAUGUUCUGCUCUUCCUCAGAUAGAGCUGUCUGCUGCACACACACACACACACACACUCACACACACACACACACACACACACACACACACACACACACACACACACACACACACACACACACUCACACACUCACACACACACUCACACACACUGAGACACUUGAUUCACAGUUCAUGUGACUCUGCACAUUUCAUUUCAUUCCUCUCAGCCUUUGACUCUAUGAUUCGGGUGAAAUUUAUUCUAUAACAUCAUCAAUAGGCACCAUCACAAACUAUUGAUUAUUAAUAUCGGCCACAUUAAAGUGACCGAUGCUUAACUGGAGGAGGAAUAUUUCCUUGAUCAACUGCUGAAUGAAGUUACAGAUUGUCUGUAAGUGCCGCAGAUGAGCGCUGGGUCAGAUUAUAGUUCACAUUGCCUUUAUUUCAUUCAUUCAAAGGAAAUAAGUCGAUGAAAUAAAUUAAAAACGCACACACUCUAGGGUUUCAUCACCUCUAUUUAGCCUCUCAUGACUUCAUUGUCUUCCUCUCUGAUUGUGAUAUAAAACACUACACUUUAGGACUGAUUGAAUGAUUAUCUUUUUUCUGAAAUAAAAGAAAGUGUUCUUUUUUCUGUUUGCAGUCAUUUUUAGAAAUCGUUUAUGUAUAAUGAGCUGACUCAGAUGAGUGUUGCAAACGAACGCAGGGAUAAGCAGCACAGUGAAGUGAAGCUUGUACGAAGCUUAACAACACGAUGAGUCAUACGUGAGAAAAUCGACACCUCUGUAAGCGAAGCGACGAAGCAGCAGCAGCUUGGGUUAACUUUUGAUUUAUCAUAUGCACCAUUAACAGAUUGCAGAGCAAUCUUUCCCGGCCAGUGUAAUGAUGGCUAGUCGAUGGCGGCUGCGCAUCGUCCAAUCUUUUAUUCUGAAUCCUGUCAAUAAUAAAAGCCCUCAAUGAAAAGCUGAAGAGUGCUCACCAAACUCUAGUACUGUGAGGACUGUAAUGUAAUUUACAAGGCUUCAUCCAUAUUGAUGAUAGUUGAAGUCGACUGCAAAUGUCAGGCUGAGACUAAUCUGACCUCAUCAGGGAAGGAGCGCUUAUGAAAGAUGGAUCCGGAAGCUAAUGAGGGCGCCGUCACUUCCAGUCAGAGGCUUUUCACUACAUAGACUAACCCCUAGACUUUUCAACCUGCCGUCAUCAAACCCUGCCUUCUCAUUCAGUAGCACUGCUUUGACCUCUCAAGGCAGUGCUUCAGCCUGACUGGUCGGUUACAAAGUUAUCGUUGCUUUAUUAACAUCUCGUUUUUAGGGACGUGUACAGAGCGCAGGCGCAGCGCUUUGUCAUAAAUAACAGAUUUCUAUUCAUGUGCUUAAGGUGAAGUUUAUUUAUGGAACACGUAUGGAAGGAGUCUCCAGUGUCACUUGGAAAUCCGUAACUGUCUUGUGAUGUCAUCAGGACGGAGGAGUUUGUGAUUCUUUGGGGUUUCUCAGUAACUGAGUGGGAAGUAUCUGAGUCUUGUGUCUGUUUUGUUGACUCGAUCCACUUUGAAGAAAAAUAUCCAAGGACGUAUUCACCUGCACAUUUAUUUCCAAAGUACGCAAGAAGAAGUGCUCCGGAUUUCAUCCGGCAAUCUACUCAGCCUCCGUUUCUUUUCUGACGUGAAUAGCAUUUGCUUGUCUCCUCUGCUCGACGUAAUGACACAAUCUACUUCAGCAAGUCUUUUUCACUAAAUGCUGGAUUCCAUUAGCAGAGCCUUGCAUUGAAAGGAGGACGAUCAUGUGCUGUCAUUUAAGAUGAAACAGGAAGCAGGAAGUAAGGAUGAGGAACAAUUCCAGAGCGACCAGUUCAAAGCCUUUCUUACAGCUUUGUUGACCUUCCUGGAAACUUCUGGACAUACAGGGUUAGAUAUAAGAUCAAAACAGAGCUGAGUGUGUGUGCUGCAAUGUCUUCCCUGAUCCCUGAGGUCAGCUACACCAGUCUUCUGAACUACUGGAGAAGUUCAGAAGUUCAGUUCUCCAGACUUCACUCGUUUCUCCAUAUAUCCCACUGUGGGAUUGAGGUCUGGGGCUCCAUCAUGCUCAGAUCUGCCUCUAUGCAUACUACAGUGACUAGUGUGGAGCACUGAACUGACCAGUUCUUCAUCCAUCCCACUGCACUAUCUGACACUGUACUAACUCCACCCUGGGACUUGUGCUCCUUACACAGUACCAAAGCUGUGUUUAAGCUCCUCAGCUCACUUCAUCAUCAGCAUGGACCUGUCAGAUCACGUCUAGGGUUCGAGACGUGAUGCAGGUUCAAAAGAUGAAACGCACACUUGAAGUUCCAUCAACUCCACCAGAUGUACAGAAAGGUUUUGGAGCAGAAUUUGUGUGAGAGAAGAAUACAGUGAGGUGAGUCACUCUGAGGCAGACACGACACGACUGGGAAAAGAAUCCUGAAUAAAUAAACUUCACCAGGUGCAGAAGAAGAAGAAACAGGUGUGUAGACAGGAAGGAGCAGACGAAGGCGGGGCAGACACGUGACAAAGAACGUAAACAGAUGCAGUCUGAGCUGAGUCACGACAGAGGGCCUCCCCCCAGGCGCGGCUCCUGAUGUGCCAACCCGUCUUGGUGGUCCAGACGGGGUCCGGGUGGGGGGAGCAAGACACACGGCGAGGCAGGUGGGGGGAGCAAGGCACACGGCGAGGCAGGUGGGGGGAG